UACGGGGGGGGCAAGCGUUGUUCGGAAUUACUGGGCGUAAAGGGCUCGUAGGCGGCCAACUAAGUCAGACGUGAAAUCCCUCGGCUUAACCGGGGAACUGCGUCUGAUACUGGAUGGCUAGAGAUUGGGAGAGGGAUGCGGAAUUCCAGGUGUCGCGGUGAAAUGCGUAGAUAUCUGGAGGAACACCGGUGGCGAAGGCGGCAUCCUGGACCAACACUGACGCUGAUGCGCGAAAGCGUGGGGAGCAAACGGG
This 253-nucleotide ribosomal RNA is filed under the name uncultured bacterium. RNAcentral describes it as "partial 16S ribosomal RNA". It matches the Rfam family "Bacterial small subunit ribosomal RNA", at positions 524 to 776 of the family's 1533-position model. The record is from RNAcentral.